GAUGAACGCUGGCGGCGUGCCUAAUACAUGCAAGUCGAGCGAACAGACGAGGAGCUUGUUCCUCUGACGUUAGCGGCGGACGGGUGAGUAACACGUGGAUAACCUACCUAUAAGACUGGGAUAACUUCGGGAAACCGGAGCUAAUACCGGAUAAUAUAUUGAACCGCAUGGUUCAAUAGUGAAAGACGGUUUUGCUGUCACUUAUAGAUGGAUCCGCGCCGCAUUAGCUAGUUGGUAAGGUAACGGCUUACCAAGGCAACGAUGCGUAGCCGACCUGAGAGGGUGAUCAGCCACACUGGAACUGAGACACGGUCCAGACUCCUACGGGAGGCAGCAGUAGGGAAUCUUCCGCAAUGGGCGAAAGCCUGACGGAGCAACGCCGCGUGAGUGAUGAAGGUCUUCGGAUCGUAAAACUCUGUUAUUAGGGAAGAACAAAUGUGUAAGUAACUAUGCACGUCUUGACGGUACCUAAUCAGAAAGCCACGGCUAACUACGUG
Molecule: ribosomal RNA, 497 nt
Filed under: uncultured bacterium
Lineage: Bacteria
Description: partial 16S ribosomal RNA
Rfam family: Bacterial small subunit ribosomal RNA
Source: RNAcentral